GCCAGGUGUGGUGGCGGGCACCUGUAGUCCCAGCUACUUGGGAGGCUGAGGCAGGAGAAUCCCUUGAACCUGGGAGGUGGAGGUUGCAGUGAGCCAAGAUCACACCAUUGCACUCCAGCCUGGGCGACAGAGAGAGACUCCAUCUCAAAAAAAAAAAAAAAAAAAAAAAAGACUAAAUCUCACUCUGUUGCUCAGGCUGGAGUGCAGCGGUGUGAUCUCAGCUCACUGCAACCUCCACCUCCUGGGUUCAAGCAAUUCUCUUGCCUCAA
Molecule: small RNA, 269 nt
Filed under: Macaca mulatta (Rhesus monkey)
Lineage: Eukaryota; Metazoa; Chordata; Mammalia; Primates; Cercopithecidae
Description: Metazoan signal recognition particle RNA (ENSMMUG00000031356.3)
Source: RNAcentral